ACUAUUCUUUUCUUGGAGUUACACUGGUGUCCAAUGAGUAUGUAAUGCAGGCAGUACUGCUCACACCUACGUGACACACCCCCAUCAGCUAGGAUUGGGCUUUACCUUCAUGCACUUUUGAAAAA
Small nuclear RNA from Aotus nancymaae (Ma's night monkey), 125 nucleotides. The record is from Ensembl. Lineage: Eukaryota; Metazoa; Chordata; Mammalia; Primates; Aotidae.